UAGGGUCUCUCAAGCCACACC
Molecule: non-coding RNA, 21 nt
Filed under: Arabidopsis thaliana (thale cress)
Lineage: Eukaryota; Viridiplantae; Streptophyta; Magnoliopsida; Brassicales; Brassicaceae
Source: RNAcentral